GUGGAUGGGAAACUAGUACUUGUGGGUCCCACAACAUAUCUAGAUAAAAUGUUAUUUGGAUUUUUAUAAACAUAAGCCGAACGUAGACUAGGUCUGAAUAGGACUAAAAGUAAGAUUAUUAUUUUUGAGUAGGAGAUAAAUUAUUGACAUUUUCUUUGAUUUUGGUGGGAAAUUAGUGGCAUCAUGGGAACUUAGUGACAUUAUUGUCAGCUUACAUGGGCUUAGAAGAUGUGUGACUUUCGACUAUAAUAGUAAUACUAGCCUUUGUUGCUCAAAGAUCUCCAUUUGUAGUCAUCCAAUGACUUUUUACUCGCUGCUUCUUACUAUUCGAUGAUGAAUUAUUUUUCGUUCUUGUAGGUCUCCGGAAACGUUGGAAUCUCAACAGAAUUGUGGCAUUAUGUAAGAAUGAUCCGAGUAUUUUUCAUUGGUCACAUCUGCUCGCGUCAUCCAAAGGUUGUGUAAGCAAAUUGCUGCUGGUGCCAAAAGUGGGUGAUGAUGGUAUUUAUGUGCCAAAAUAGGAUAUUUGCUGCUGUUUUGAGAUCGAAUUUACUUUAGAAGAAAUGUAAUCUUCCUAAAGCUGAUAGGGUGCCUUAUUUGGCGUUGAAUAUUUUAAAUAAUUUCGAAAACUUUAGUAUGAAACCUGGCAUUUACCUAUUACGGAAAUGAUAUGUAAUUCAGCAAAAUAUUAUUUGGAAUUCUUCCUUAUGUUUCUCUCAAUUUUUUAUUUAUUAUUAUUAUUCUUAUUAUUAUUAUUUUUAGCAUAGAUUAUUAACUGAUGAUGUGUGUUUUUAGAAGUUGCUUUUAUAGCUG
Molecule: long non-coding RNA, 810 nt
Filed under: Olea europaea (common olive)
Lineage: Eukaryota; Viridiplantae; Streptophyta; Magnoliopsida; Lamiales; Oleaceae
Description: long non-coding RNA (OEUR_LNC011656)
Source: RNAcentral